AACUCCGCGGCGGCGGGCGGCCACGUGACUGCAGCUCCGCUCCCACCUCGGCGGGCGCCCCUUACCCGCCCAGGCUUUCUUCCCGCCAGGCCCCCUCCACCCGAUCGCCGCGCGCUCUCCGAACCAAAAGGCGACCUCACGAAAUGCCCCUUUGAGCUCAAAGGCUAGUUACCCCCAGGGGCCCUUCCACUCUCGAGGACAGGCAAAACCUCUUUGUCUCUGCUUCGGCCCGCGGCCCCCAGCCCAGCCUCCGCGCUUUCGCUCCGCCAGUCCUUGUCAAUCAAACCUGAUGCCAAACGCGGCAGCUGAAGUUUUCAGGGACACAUUUGCUUCUCCCCUUGAAGAACCAAUUACAAAGCCUGAUUUCCUCUCUGGGGUCCCAUCAGAACAAAGAAACAGGCUGUACAAGAAGCAUGAUGCCAGCAUCUGCUUCUGGUGAUAACCUCAAGAAGUUUACAAUUGGCCGCGUGCGGUAGCUCAUGCCUGUAAUGCCAGCACUUUGGGAGACAGAGACAGAUGGAUCAUUUGAGGGCAGGAGUUCGAGACCAGGUUGGCCA
RNAcentral lists this non-coding RNA (557 nucleotides) under Pongo abelii (Sumatran orangutan). The record is from RNAcentral. Lineage: Eukaryota; Metazoa; Chordata; Mammalia; Primates; Hominidae.